RNAcentral lists this ribosomal RNA (294 nucleotides) under uncultured Hyphomicrobiaceae bacterium. Its description in RNAcentral is "partial 16S ribosomal RNA". It matches the Rfam family "Bacterial small subunit ribosomal RNA", at positions 20 to 340 of the family's 1533-position model. Lineage: Bacteria; Pseudomonadati; Pseudomonadota; Alphaproteobacteria; Hyphomicrobiales; Hyphomicrobiaceae. The record is from RNAcentral.
UGGCUCAGAACGAACGCUGGCGGCAGGCCUAACACAUGCAAGUCGAACGCUCGUAGCAAUACGAGAGUGGCAGACGGGUGAGUAACACGUGGGAACCUUCCCUAUGGUUCGGAAUAGCCCAGGGAAACUUGGGGUAAUACCGGAUAAGCCCUUACGGGGAAAGAUUUAUCGCCAUUGGAUGGGCCCGCGUCGGAUUAGCUAGUUGGUGGGGUAACGGCUCACCAAGGCGACGAUCCGUAGCUGGUCUGAGAGGAUGAUCAGCCACACUGGGACUGAGACACGGCCCAGAAUCCU